UUUUCGCGGUGGAGCGACAUUGUGCAGACGUUGAUGCUAAAGUAACACUCACAGAUCUUUCUUCUCAGAAGAUACGGGUUUAGAAGAAACCAUAAGAGAGCUGAUGGCUUGGAGAAGCCACAAGCGUUUCUCCCUCCCUCCAAUAGAGAGCACAGGGACCCAGGGUUAUGUCCCUAAAUCCACACCAGCGACGAUUUGCCCAGAUACGUCGCCCCCUGCAUAUUUGGGAAACAGAAUGUAUGUGACUGGUUCAACCAGUCACAUCUACCAGGAUGAUUCGGCCUAUGACGGCAAAUCAUUGGCCUGUGACAGUUCAACCAGCAAGGCCUUCUGGAACGAUGGACAUGGCAGCUCAACUUCCAGCAGUUU
Molecule: long non-coding RNA, 369 nt
Organism: Liolophura sinensis
Lineage: Eukaryota; Metazoa; Mollusca; Polyplacophora; Chitonida; Chitonidae
Exons: 3
Source: RefSeq, a predicted model, not a curated record